UUGACCUCAAAUCAGGUAGGAUUACCCGCUGAACUUAAG
RNAcentral lists this ribosomal RNA (39 nucleotides) under Scheffersomyces stipitis. Its description in RNAcentral is "partial 26S ribosomal RNA". Lineage: Eukaryota; Fungi; Ascomycota; Pichiomycetes; Serinales; Debaryomycetaceae. The record is from RNAcentral. RNAcentral also lists the same sequence under 10 other names.